Dreissena polymorpha is the source of this 1175-nucleotide long non-coding RNA. RefSeq lists it as uncharacterized. The record is from RefSeq and is a predicted model, not a curated record. NCBI's taxonomy places the organism in Eukaryota, Metazoa, Mollusca, Bivalvia, Myida, Dreissenidae. The transcript has 4 exons.
UUCGCUUGGUUCUGAAUCCCCAUUUUUUACCCAGAUUGCCACCAUAAAAAUAGUCAAAAGUACUUAUUUUGUGCCCAAAAUAUGAAAAUUUGUAUUCUCUUGAACCUCUAAAUGACAGCUGGCAAUGCAUAUUGACCAUCUGCUGCAGUUUAAAGGCACCCAUGACAUUAUAUGCUAGGAUAUAUCAUUGGCCUCUGGCAAAUAAAUGGGCUCCGAGCGACAAGGCGCGUUUCAAGAUUUCACACUUUUAUUGGUGCUAAACAACAAGUUAUUGGAAGCUUAUUGAUUUCUUCUCUUCAAAGUAUCUUUGAUCUCUCAUUUGUACUAAUUUGUUUAUUGUCUUGGAUGAAAUUGGAUUUUCUUUGCUUUGAAAUUGACAUUUUUGGGGUGAUUUAAAAAAAAACACACAAAAAAGACAUUAUCAAAAUUGCUUAGAGUGAAAAUAUCUAACAAAUUCAUUCUUUCACCACCCCGCAUAAGCCCCACGUGCAUGUCCAUUUGGUUUGUUUUGGUAUUUUGUUGCAGAUAUUGAACUUAGCACAUUUAAACCUUAAAGGGACAUUUAAGCUUUAACAGGCCUAAAAUGGCCUUCUUUGGACCGAAAACACCUGCGUGUGAAAAUAUGAAAAAAAAUGGCCAAACGGACAGAUAAUCCAGCCAAACUUAUUACAUGUGUGCAAUAUGAAUAGGAAGAUAAGAAUAUGCAAGAAAAACACAUUUUAAUCAGAAGAUAUUUUUCCUUUAGGUUACAAUAUACUAAAUCUUUUUGGAGUGCAAUGCUAUACUCUCUAAAAACCUGAACAUCAUUUAUUUGAAGACACGGUUCUCUGUAGGGUCACUUGCCAUGACUUUAUUUUAGUAUAUUUCUGUGUGCAUGUGGCAGGGAAAACAUUGUUGUUUACUAGAAAUUCACUCUUUUAUCUGAAGAUUGGAGACUACAUAAGACUUUGACAGAUGGCGGGAAACCCUCAUGAACUGGAUAGAAGCCGGUAGAAGAAUGUCUGCGGCUAAGCCGCGGGCCACUUGAUAAGGGUUGUUGAUGGUAAAACAGGUAGAAGAAUGUCUGCGGCUAAGCCGCGGGCCACUUGAUAAGGGUUGUUGAUGGUAAAACAGGUAGAAGAAUGUCUGCGGCUAAGCCGCGGGCCACUUGAUAAGGGUUGUUGAUGGUAAAACAG